This 253-nucleotide ribosomal RNA is filed under the name uncultured bacterium. Its description in RNAcentral is "partial 16S ribosomal RNA". It matches the Rfam family "Bacterial small subunit ribosomal RNA", at positions 524 to 776 of the family's 1533-position model. The record is from RNAcentral.
UACAGAGGGUGCAAGCGUUGUUCGGAAUUAUUGGGCGUAAAGAGCUCGUAGGCGGCCUGUUGCGUCCGCUGUGAAAGCCCGGGGCUUAACCCCGGGUCGGCAGUGGAUACGGGCAGGCUAGAGGUAGGUAGGGGAGAAUGGAAUUCCCGGUGUAGCGGUGAAAUGCGCAGAUAUCGGGAGGAACACCGGUGGCGAAGGCGGUUCUCUGGGCCCUACCUGACGCUGAGACGCGAAAGCGUGGGGAGCGAACCGG